Hevea brasiliensis (rubber tree) is the source of this 329-nucleotide long non-coding RNA. RefSeq lists it as uncharacterized. The transcript is spliced from 2 exons. NCBI's taxonomy places the organism in Eukaryota, Viridiplantae, Streptophyta, Magnoliopsida, Malpighiales, Euphorbiaceae. The record is from RefSeq and is a predicted model, not a curated record.
GGUGAGCUAUGGAGAUGGUUCAACUUCCAGAGGCUUCCUCAUAAAUUUUUGGAAUUUUUGAGACACAGAUAAACUUCGGGCCACAGGAGGAGUUAUUUUACAGAGCAACCUGUUUUCUUUCUCGCAGGUUUAACGUCGAUUAUUUAAUUGUAUUAUUAUUCUCUAAAUUUGUAAUUUAGAACUCCGCAUGUGCUAGUAGUAGCAUUAAGCCUGUCAGGGACUGUAUGAAUUCAAGUUUUCAUAUUAAUAAAUGAAAAGAAAAAAAUUUUAUGAGAUUUAAACAGUUUGUAAAUGAGGCAACAGGGUUGAGCGAGGCUCCCCUUAUUUCA